CACAUUUGGUAGAGACUGUUGAAGCCACCCAGUCCCAGCAGACCCCAGAAGGUGGCCACAUUCGCUGAUGUUGGAACAAGGUCAUUAAGGGUGAAGCCUGGUGCCAGAUGUGU
Ribosomal RNA from Panthera pardus (leopard), 113 nucleotides. The record is from Ensembl. NCBI's taxonomy places the organism in Eukaryota, Metazoa, Chordata, Mammalia, Carnivora, Felidae.